This 490-nucleotide ribosomal RNA is filed under the name uncultured bacterium. RNAcentral describes it as "partial 16S ribosomal RNA". It matches the Rfam family "Bacterial small subunit ribosomal RNA", at positions 30 to 507 of the family's 1533-position model. The record is from RNAcentral.
AUUGAACGCUGGCGGCAGGCCUAACACAUGCAAGUCGAACGGUAACAGGGAUCAGCUUGCUGAUUCGCUGACGAGUGGCGGACGGGUGAGUAAUGUCUGGGAAACUGCCUGAUGGAGGGGGAUAACUACUGGAAACGGUAGCUAAUACCGCAUAACGUCGCAAGACCAAAGAGGGGGACCUUCGGGCCUCUUGCCAUCGGAUGCGCCCAGAUGGGAUUAGCUAGUAGGUGGGGUAACGGCUCACCUAGGCGACGAUCCCUAGCUGGUCUGAGAGGAUGACCAGCCACACUGGAACUGAGACACGGUCCAGACUCCUACGGGAGGCAGCAGUGGGGAAUAUUGCACAAUGGGCGCAAGCCUGAUGCAGCCAUGCCGCGUGUAUGAAGAAGGCCUUCGGGUUGUAAAGUACUUUCAGCGGGGAGGAAGGGAGUAAAGUUAAUACCUUGGCUCAUUGACGUUACCCGCAGAAGAAGCACCGGCUAACUCCGUG